Molecule: ribosomal RNA, 468 nt
Filed under: uncultured bacterium
Lineage: Bacteria
Description: partial 16S ribosomal RNA
Rfam family: Bacterial small subunit ribosomal RNA
Source: RNAcentral
GACGAACGCUGGCGGCGUGCUUAACACAUGCAAGUCGAACGGAAAGGCCCUGCUUUUGUGGGGUGCUCGAGUGGCGAACGGGUGAGUAACAUGUGAGUAACCUGCCCUUGACUUUGGUAUAACUUCAGGAAACUGGGGCUAAUACCGGAUAGGAGCUCCUGCUGCAUGGUGGGGGUUGGAAAGUUUCGGCGGUUGGGGAUGGACUCGCGGCUUAUCAGCUUGUUGGUGGGGUAGUGGCUUACCAAGGCUUUGACGGGUAGCCGGCCUGAGAGGGUGACCGGCCACAUUGGGACUGAGAUACGGCCCAGACUCCUACGGGAGGCAGCAGUGGGGAAUAUUGCACAAUGGGCGGAAGCCUGAUGCAGCAACGCCGCGUGCGGGAUGACGGCCUUCGGGUUGUAAACCGCUUUCGCCUGUGACGAAGCGUGAGUGACGGUAAUGGGUAAAGAAGCACCGGCUAACUACGUG